UAAAAGCAGGCUGCCAGGCUGCUUUGGCAACCUGCUCAGGUCUCUUGGAAGCUGUGUUGUUUUGCUGUUUGUGGUAAGUCUUGCUGCUGUCUGCUCUUUGGGUCCAUACUGCCUUUAUGAGUUGUAACACCACAAAGGUUUGCAGCUUCACUUCUGAAGCCAGGGAGAGCUGGAACCCGCAGGGGGGAACGAACAACUUCAGAAGUGCUGCAUUAAGAGCUGUAACUGUCACCGCAAAGGCCUGCAGCUUCACUUCUGAGCUAGUGUAGACCACGAACCCACCAGAAUGAAAAAACUCUGAACACAUCUGAACAUCAGAAGGAACAAACUCUGGACACGCUGCCUUUAAGAACUGUAACGCUCACCGCGAGGGUCCGUGGCUUCAUUCUUGCGGUCAGUGAGAUGAAGAACCCGCUAAUUCCGGACACAAUAUGAUACGGAGGUGGUUAAAUUACGUGGCCCAAUCAAGGGUGGGUCAGCCGAACUGCAGUGAGGACUUGGGUCAGCUUGGUGAAGUUCACGUUUGGGCUUUAUCCUCUCCCUGGAAUUUUGUGUCCCCCAGGCAAUUUCUGUUGCCUGUGUUUUUGAGUGAAAGACAAUCUUUGAAGCUGGACAACGUGGCUCACACCUAUAAUCCCAGUACUUUAGGAGGCCAAGGUAGGAAAAUCGCUUGAGCUGAAGAGUCGGAGACCAGCCAGGACAACAUGGCAAGACCCCAUUUCUGCAAAAAAUUUAAAAAUUAGCUGGGUGUGGUGACGUGCUCCUAUAGUCUCAGCUACUUGGGAGGCUGAGACAGGAGGAUUGCUUGAGUGUGGG
RNAcentral lists this long non-coding RNA (816 nucleotides) under Pan troglodytes (chimpanzee). RNAcentral's name for it is "long non-coding RNA NONPTRT006934". The record is from RNAcentral. Lineage: Eukaryota; Metazoa; Chordata; Mammalia; Primates; Hominidae.